RNAcentral lists this ribosomal RNA (747 nucleotides) under uncultured bacterium. Its description in RNAcentral is "bacterial SSU rRNA". It matches the Rfam family "Bacterial small subunit ribosomal RNA", at positions 59 to 793 of the family's 1533-position model. The record is from RNAcentral.
CAGUCGAGGGGCAGCAUGGUCUUAGCUUGCUAAGGCUGAUGGCGACCGGCGCACGGGUGAGUAACACGUAUCCAACCUGCCGUCUACUCUUGGCCAGCCUUCUGAAAGGAAGAUUAAUCCAGGAUGGGAUCAUGAGUUCACAUGUCCGCAUGAUUAAAGGUAUUUUCCGGUAGACGAUGGGGAUGCGUUCCAUUAGAUAGUAGGCGGGGUAACGGCCCACCUAGUCAACGAUGGAUAGGGGUUCUGAGAGGAAGGUCCCCCACAUUGGAACUGAGACACGGUCCAAACUCCUACGGGAGGCAGCAGUGAGGAAUAUUGGUCAAUGGGCGAUGGCCUGAACCAGCCAAGUAGCGUGAAGGAUGACUGCCCUAUGGGUUGUAAACUUCUUUUAUAAAGGAAUAAAGUCGGGUAUGCAUACCCGUUUGCAUGUACUUUAUGAAUAAGGAUCGGCUAACUCCGUGCCAGCAGCCGCGGUAAUACGGAGGAUCCGAGCGUUAUCCGGAUUUAUUGGGUUUAAAGGGAGCGUAGAUGGAUGUUUAAGUCAGUUGUGAAAGUUUGCGGCUCAACCGUAAAAUUGCAGUUGAUACUGGAUGUCUUGAGUGCAGUUGAGGCAGGCGGAAUUCGUGGUGUAGCGGUGAAAUGCUUAGAUAUCACGAAGAACUCCGAUUGCGAAGGCAGCCUGCUAAGCUGCAACUGACAUUGAGGCUCGAAAGUGUGGGUAUCAAACAGGAUUAGAUACCCUGGUAG